Molecule: ribosomal RNA, 1575 nt
Filed under: Triticum aestivum (bread wheat)
Lineage: Eukaryota; Viridiplantae; Streptophyta; Magnoliopsida; Poales; Poaceae
Description: partial small subunit ribosomal RNA
Source: RNAcentral
AUGGACGCCGACGACCCCGCCGCCACGUCCUCCGAACCGCCCACCUCCGAAGCCGACUUCUUCGACGUCCCAGAUGCCCUCCCCACUCCCCCUCCCCCUCCCUCACCCCACACCCCGUCCUCCUCCACCCUCCGCCGCCGCCCGCGCCGCGCCAAAAUCCUGAUGCAGCCCGACGACCCCGUCUCCCCCUCGGCUUCCGCCGCAUCCAUCGUCACCGCGGUCGAUGAGCCCGACAAGGACAAGGACAGGGCCAAGGCCAAGCCUGAUUCCGAUUCCUCCGUCACCGUCACCGUCACCGCGGCCGAUGAGCCCGACAAGGCCAAGGCCAAGCCCGAUUCCGAUUCCGAUUCCGAUUCCUCCGAGGCCACCAGCGCGCCCCGUUCCCCCCCUCCCCUCGAGGAGGAGGUGGACCAGAAGGAUGCGGAGCCGGCGGCCCCCGAGGCGAAUGUGGACGAGAAGGAUUCGGAGCCGGCGGCCCCCGAGGCGAAUGUGGACAAGAAGGAUUCGGAGCCGGCAGCCCCCGAGGCGGAGGUAGACGAGAAGGAUGCGGAGUCGGCGGUCCCCGAGGAGGAAGUGGACGAGAAGGACGCGGAGUCGGAGGCCGCGGCGCCGGAUUACAGGCCGCCGCCGGCGCCGCCGGCCUUUGUCGAGUCCCUCGCCGUGUUCGUCAUCAAAGCCGUGGUGUUCCAGGUCAGCGCGCUCGUCGCCUGCCUCACGUUCCCCUUCCGGCUGCUGCAAUGGUGGUUCCUCUUCGUGACCGACCCGCUCGGCUCGGUGCAGCGGGCGAGGGAUUGGGCUCUCGGGGUGGCGGGGCAGGCCACCGGCGCGGUGAGCGCGUGGCUCGGAGCGGGGGACGGGGUGGCGCGCGUGGUGGCGAGGCUGCUGUGGGGGGCGCUCUGGGCCAUGUACGUCUGCGUGCUUCUGUGCGCGAUGCUCGCUAUGGCGUUUACGGCAGGGGGGGUCUUGGUGGGGAAAGUGGUGGAGGAGCCCGUUCAGGUGACGGAGAACCUGAAUUUCGAUUACACCAAGCCGAGCCCCGUGGCGUUUGUGCCGGUGGGGCGGCUGGUACCGCCGCAACAGCGGAUGCAGCUCGAGGUGUUGCUGACGCUGCCCGAGUCGGAUUACAACAGGAGGCUUGGGGUUUUCCAGGUGAGGGCAGAGCUUCUAUCUGCAGAUGGGAAAGUGGUCACGGCUUCGAGUCAACCAUGCAUGCUAAAGUUCAAGAGCGUCCACAUGCAUUUCAUAGAAACCUUUUUCCAAAGUGUUUCUCUUUUGUCCGGCUAUUCAUCUGAAUCUCAGGUUAUCAAACUAAAAAUGACAGGCAUCAGGGAGGCUUUCAAGCCAAUAACAGGAGUAAGGAUAGUGCUCGAGCAACGAGCCGAGUUUGCCACGGGUGCAGGCAUCCCAGAGAUCUAUGCCGCGUCGAUAAAGCUCGAGGCCGAGCUCCCUCUACUCAAGAGAAUACUCUGGCACUGGAGAUGGACCAUGUUUGUGUGGAGCAGCAUGGCGGUCUUUGUCUUCGAACUGUUGCUCGCCGUUGUUUGUUGUAGACCCUGUAUAUUUCCCAGGAGUUGA